Molecule: long non-coding RNA, 336 nt
Organism: Gymnodraco acuticeps
Lineage: Eukaryota; Metazoa; Chordata; Actinopteri; Perciformes; Bathydraconidae
Exons: 2
Source: RefSeq, a predicted model, not a curated record
CUGUACCAGAGAGUGAGAGACAGAACUGGACUCCUCACAGCAGUGAACUUCAGCACAGGAAAGGACAUGCCUGAAAGACACAACAUUUUCUCCUUCUCUGAGGGUCAAGAAGAACAUCCAAGAGGAACAUUAAAAGCUGAUGUUGUGAGAUUUUAAGACCAGUACACUAAGAAACUACUUUUAUUGUAAAAACAGUCAGCUGAUCGAAUGCACCUAUUUCCACAUCUACACUCCAUCCGCUGAUUAUUUCUAUUUGCCUCGCUUUAUGAUCUUCACAUCACAUGUGCCUUGUACCGCAGAGUUUGCAACGUCACAAAUAAAUGGGGCCAAUCUUCA